Molecule: non-coding RNA, 530 nt
Organism: Nannospalax galili (Upper Galilee mountains blind mole rat)
Lineage: Eukaryota; Metazoa; Chordata; Mammalia; Rodentia; Spalacidae
Source: the annotation of a RefSeq genome assembly
CACGUCCUGAGGAAAAAGAUGUUAAAAAUCUCUGCUUUAUAUCCGUUGACUCUUAGUUUCUCUAUGACGUUAACAGUUUUUCAUGUGAAGAACUACUCAGAUGACACUCCAAAGAUGAACUCCACUCAGGGAUUAGUGACUGUGAUACUUUUAAUACUCGGUGAGACCCAUGGAGACUCAGUGACUCAGAUGGCAGGUCAACUGACCCUCUCAAAAGGAAACUUCCUGACUAUAAACAGCACUUACUCAGCCUCAGCAUACCCUACUCUGUUCUGGUAUGUUCAGUAUCCUGGAGAGGCCCCACAGCAACUCUUCCAAGUCCCGAAGGCCAGCGAGAAGGGAAAGAACAAAGGUUGUGAAGCUACUUAUGACAGAGAAGCCUCCUCCUUCCACCUGCACAAAGCCUCAGUCCAAGAGUCAGACUCAGCUGUGUACUACUGUGCUCUGAAUGACACAGUGGCAGAAACCUCAGGAAGAGCUGAGCACCAAAUCAGCAGCAGAUGCCUGUCUACUGAGCACCUGCUCUGAGA